UUCGGCCUCUGCUAUACAGUUUAGGACGCAAAAAGGUUCACCAUCUUUUCAAUUAUUUUACACUAAUUUUUUUGUUCAAGAAGGAACGUACCUUUUUGAACCGCCUAUUCAAAGGAGGCCACAAGCAUGACUGGUAAAGUAAAAUGGUUUAACGCUGAAAAAGGUUUCGGUUUUAUCGAGCGUGAAGACGGAGACGACGUAUUCGUACACUUCUCUGCGAUCCAAGCAGAAGGUUUCAAGACUCUUGAAGAAGGUCAAGACGUUGAAUUUGAAAUCGUUGAAGGCGACCGCGGACCACAAGCUGCUAACGUAGUAGGUCUUUAAGAAGAGCUGAAUACUCAGGAAUAGAGGGGUAUAUUCCAUAUGGAAUAUACUCCUUU
Molecule: small RNA, 380 nt
Filed under: Geomicrobium sp. JCM 19038
Lineage: Bacteria; Bacillati; Bacillota; Bacilli; Caryophanales
Description: cspA thermoregulator
Rfam family: cspA thermoregulator
Source: Rfam by way of RNAcentral